RNAcentral lists this ribosomal RNA (1508 nucleotides) under uncultured bacterium. RNAcentral describes it as "bacterial SSU rRNA". It matches the Rfam family "Bacterial small subunit ribosomal RNA". The record is from RNAcentral.
GUUUGAUCCUGGCUCAUAACGAACGCUGGCGGCGCGUUUUAAGCAUGCUAGUCCAACGGUAGAGGUACUUCGGUACCUUGAGAGUGGCGAACGGGUGAGUAACACGUAGAUGAUCUGCCUUGAAGUUGGGGAUAGCUCAUAGAAAUAUGGGGUAAUACCGGAUAAUAUCUAAUUGCUUUGGCGAUAUGAUGAAAGGGGCUUCGGCCUCGCUUUAAGAUGAGUCUGCGGUCUAUUAGCUAGUUGGUAGGGUAAGAGCCUACCAAGGCGACGAUUGAUAGCCGGCCUGAGAGGGUGACCGGCCACAUUGGGACUGAGACACGGCCCAAACUCCUACGGGAGGCAGCAGCUAAGAAUCUUCCGCAAUGGGCGCAAGCCUGACGGAGCGACGCCGCGUGGACGAAUAAUGCCGAGAGGUUGUAAAGUCCUUUUAUUUGCGAAGAAUAAUGCCUGUAGGUAAUGACAGGCAGAUGACGUUAGCUUAUGAAUAAGCUCCGGCCAAUUACGUGCCAGCAGCCGCGGUAACACGUAAGGAGCGAGCGUUGUUCGGAAUUAUUUGGGCGUAAAGGGCAUGUAGGCGGUUGUAUAAGUUCUGGUGUGAAAGGCCACAGCUUAACUGUGGAAACGCACUGGAAACUGUAUGACUUGAAUCAGAGAGGGGUAACUGGAAUUCCUAGUGUAGGGGUGAAAUCUGUUGAUAUUAUGAAGAACAUCGAUGGCGAAGGCAAGUUUACUGGCCUCAUGUAUUGACGCUGAGAUGCGAAAGCGUAGGGGAGCGAACAGGGAUUAGAUWCCCUGGUADUUUACGCUGUAAACGAUGUGCAMUUGGUGUCGGGGUUYUAAAGCCUUUGGUACCGUAGMUAACGCGUUAAGUGCACCGMYUGGGGAGUAUGCCGGCAACGGUGAAAHUCAAAGGAAUUGACGGGGGCCCGCACAAGCGGUGGAGCAUGUGGUUUAAUUCGAUGAUACGCGAGAAACCUUACCAGGGUUUGACAUAUUUAGGAUCGACGUAGAGAUACGUAAUUCCCUUCGGGGACAUUUAUACAGGUGCUGCAUGGUUGUUGUCAGCUCGUGCCGUGAGGUGUUGGGAAAAGUCCCGCAACGAGCGCAACCCCUAAUGUUUGUUACCAUCACUUUAGUUGGGGACUCAGGCAAGACUGCCGGUGACAAACCGGAGGAAGGUGGGGACGACGUCAAAUCAUCAUGGCCCUUAUAUCGUGGGCUACACACGUGCUACAAUGGCCAGUACAGAGUGAAGCGAAGCCGCGAGGUGGAGCAAAACGCAGAAAGCUGGUCUCAGUUCGGAUUGGAGUCUGAAACUAGACUCCAUGAAGGUGGAAUCGUUAGUAAUCGUGCAUCAGCAUGGCGCGGUGAAUACGUUCCCGGGCCUUGUACACACCGCCCGUCACACCACCCGAGUUGGGGGUACCGGAAGUCACUAGUCUAACCAGCAAUGGAGGACGGUGCCGAAGGUAUGCCUGGUAAGGGGGGUGAAGUCGUAACAAGGUAGC